GCCGGGCGCGGUGGCUCAAGCCUGUAAUCCCAGCACUUAGGGAGGCCGAGACGGGUGGAUCACGAGGUCAGGAGAUCGAGACCAUCCUGGCUAACACGGUGAAACCCCGUCUCUACUAAAAAUACAAAAAACUAGCCGGGCGAGGUGGCGGGCGCCUGUAGUCCCACGCUACUCCGGANNNNNNNNNNCUAAUUUUUUGUAUUUUUUAGUAGAGAUGGGGUUUCACCAUGUUAGCCAGGAUGGUCUUGAUCUCCUGACCUCGUGAUCCACCCGCCUCAA
Molecule: non-coding RNA, 279 nt
Filed under: Chlorocebus sabaeus (green monkey)
Lineage: Eukaryota; Metazoa; Chordata; Mammalia; Primates; Cercopithecidae
Source: Rfam by way of RNAcentral